CCUGAAUCCUCACCCCUCCCUCUUCUCUUCCUUCCCCUUCUCUUCCUUCCUCCCGGCUGCUUCUCCUUGGCUCCACCCCUUCUCCUCAUCAAUUCCUCCCACACUUCCCUGCUCUCCCUGGCUUUUCACUGGAGGGUCCCUUCUCCCAGCGGGGAGCAGAUGCUGAGCCCCAUUGUCUCUCCCCCAGUGACUGCAGCCUCCCAGGGACGGGACCUGCCACUCUUCACCCCUCCCCCCAGCCCAGAGGCCCGGGCCUUUAGAGAGUGGAGCCCCAAGGCCACUGCCCCUCGCCCCACCCUAAACCGGCUCCCGGUGUUGUGAGCAAUGACUCCAGUCGCUCAGACUGUUUCUGGCUGGGAGUGAGAAGACAGUAGCCCGAGACUGCUUCAGCCAGGGGGACACCAUGGUUUUCACAUCAGGGCACUGAGCCCGGUAUGACCCCAGCGCACUCGCCCACUAAGCCCUCUAAAUAGGAUAGAAGGGAAGCCACAUUGCUGUCAUUAUUUAUAUACUCCCCCCUCAGCGCACCUCAGCUGUGUCCUCCAAACAAAGCAAAACGCAGCUCUGAUAAUCAGACAUUCAUUUAACAAAUGCUUACUGAGUCCCUACUCUGUGCCCGCCCCAGUGCUGGAUGCUGAGGAACUGGCCAUCAGCACACGUGGCCCUCGCUUAGGCUUUGUAGACCCGCAGGGGAGGGGAAGAAGCCUGGAGGCCGGCAACCGCAAUGCCAUGAAUGAACCAAGGAGGCGCCACAGAGCAUUCUUGGAACCGGGGUGAUCAGGGAUGGCUUCCUGCGGGAGGUGACAUCGAAAAGUAGGCCUGUGCCAGGCAAACGCAUGGGAAGGUACAGCCUGUCCAAAGGCCCCAGGGCAAGAGAGCACAUUCUCACAGAUUCUUGGAAUAGCCACAAGUAUUUGCUGCAGUGUGGAGUACAGUGGGGGAGUGGGGAGUGAGGAAGGUCAGGGCACACAAGUCAGGGAGGGGCGAGUGGGGACUGUGUCAGGGCACAAGUCAGGCAGCGGGGCCCUAUCAGCGAGAUGUUCAAAUUUUAGCUUCUCCCACUUGCUAACUUCAAGAACUUGGGUGAACAACAGUCCCAGUGAAUAACUUAGACUCGGUUUCCUCACUUAUAAAACGGGGUCAAGAAGUCUUGUGCGGUGCAGAGACGGGGUCUUGUGUCUUAAGGGCGGGGGGGCUCACUGGCUGCAUAUCCUGGGCAAGUUGAUGUAAGUUUCCCAUCUGUAACAUGGGCAUGAAAACACCUGACCCCCAGCGUUGUUGUGAGGCUUAACUGAGCCCAUGCCUAGCGUCCGGUGCAUAAGUGCCAAUACCUGGUGGCUUUUAUUCAUUAUUAUUAUAAAUCGGGGAGUGACUGCCAGGGAGGUGCCCUUACAACCUGGGAAUGACUUUACGUUCUGGGCCGAAACCAAAAUGACUCACCGUGUCAGAAACGUGAUGGGCUCUCUGUGGAGGAAGCAUUCCUUCAAAGAUGGCCUGUGUCCCAGUGGGUUCACUGGGAGUGGGGAACGCCUAAAGCCUGAUCGGGAUGGCCAGGACAUCCUGGAUGUCUCGGAAAUUUCACAUCCUGGAAAUGGGAAGACUGCCGUUGCAGAGGCCUGACCUGCUCCGUGGAGUUGUGGCCUGCCUGAAGAACAAACAAGAAUUAGAAGAGGGAGGCCUCAUAAAAUCCAGGAGGGCCCCUCUGAGCAGACACCUGGCUGUGUUUGCUCAGCAAAGAGAAGUAGACACAGAAGUUCACACUGAGGGGGGGAGAGGGAGAGAAAGAGAUUAUCGACUCCUCCAGAGCCCGAAUUAAAUCUCUUAAAACCUCUCAGGCCUUUGCUUGGGUUCCUCAUUCCCCCAGCAACCUGCAGAUGAACUUGGCACCAGGAAAACGCCCCCCGGUUGGAGGCAGACACCGACGUUCCAGUUCCUGCAUUGUAAACAUUUUAUACUUCUAUUAUUUCUCUGUGACACAAGUUCAUUGUGAAAGAAUUUGAAAAUCAGCUAAGCCGAACUGAGAAAGAACCCCCUGUAGAGACAUUAUAUUUUGGUGUAUAUUCUUGGGUGUUUUAUACCCACAUAUCCACAUGUAAAUGCACAUCAUAAUAAAACUCCAAAGUCAAUCUUGUUAAACAGAUGAAUGAUUACACACGUAAAUAUGCUAUUUUUACAAAAUUAACAAAAAUGGCAUAACCCUAUACCAACUGAAUUACAACCACUUUUUAAAAAAAAUUUUCUUUAAUGUUUUAUUCUUGAGAGAGAGAGAGAGAGAGAGACAGAACACGAGUGGGGGAGGGGCAGAGUGACCAAGGGACACAGAAUCAUCGGAAGCAGGCUCUAGGCUCUGAGCUGUCGGCACAGAGCCCAAUGCGGGGCUUGAACCCACGAGCCUUGAGAUCAUGACCUGAGCCGAAGUCGGACGCCCAACUGACUGAGCGCCCCUACAACGAUACCUACCCAGAGAUAGGCCACAAAUAUCUCUCCCUGUUUAGAAACACAAGGUCACUGCUAAUGAAUGAUGCCAUUCCAUAUAUACAUAUAUGCAUGUAUCUUAAUUUGUUUAAACAAAUUAAUUGUUGCACUUAAAAAGUGGAUGUUUCCAUUUUUAUGAACCUACUAUGAUAAACAGAUUUCUACAGUCACCUUUACGCCAGGUAGGUGUCGUAUUCUGGUCAUCCUUUUGCAUACGAGGAGACUGACGCACAGAGAUGUUACAAAAAACCCACAAAACUUCCCAAGGUCACAGCUAUGGAGUGACUGAAUCAGAGUUUCUAGUUGGGAUUUCUUUCCAGCAAGUCUGUUUUCUCCUUUUCUUCUUCUUCUUUUUGUAAAGUUUAUUUUGAAAUGGCGGGGGCGGGGGGGGGGGGGCAGAGAGAGAGGGAGAGAGAGAAUCUCAAGCAGGCAACGCACCGCCAGAGCAGAGCCCAACGUGGGGCUCGAACCCACGAACUGUAACAUCAUGACCUGAGCCGAAAUCACUGAGACACUUUUAACCGACUGAACCACCCAGGCGCCCCUGUUUUCUCCCUUUCUUUAGAGUAACUGUGCUCUCCACCUACCUCCCUGAUACCUUUUUCUCUCACAGAUUGCCGGUGAGAACCGGUCUGGGCAGGUGACCCACUUCCUUUUCUGAGACCUUUUUAAUUUCAUUAGGGUCCACGUCUGGGGGUAGUUGGGAGGCACGAAAGCAGGUAAUAUGUGAGACAGGACCCGUGGCGCUGUAGUUCAUAAGUUGUAAAGCUUAUGUGAAUGUCAGGAGCUACCAGCAAGGGCCUAGAUACAGAGUCAGACACCUGCCAAGACUGUUCAGCCAAGUCCCCUCUACUUCCCCAACCGAGGAAGGAACGCCAGAUUCCCAUGAGAGAGGAAGAAAUCAGCAGUUGUGAGGCAGACUCAGUAAACGGAGGCCUCUCCUGGGCAUGCCAUGGUUGCCUGCCUAGAGCUGAAAUGGGAAGGAAGGUUUGUUAUUAUAAGGUUUACUAAUCCUCAUGAUUUCCCCGAGGGAGGAUGCAUUCAUGCCACAGGCCUUCCAGAAUGUUCAUGCCCAUCUCUGAAAAUCUGAGGAAUCUUGUAAGCUGAGAAAAGGGAUGAAACACAGCUCUUCAGUGUCUCGAUUGAUGUGUUCGCCAGAGUAACCGCUUGGAGAUUAGCAGGAGGAAUGACAGGGUGCCAUCGAAUAACCCAGCUCCUCUGACCCCUUCCUUGUGACCGAUGGUGCACAUCUGCGCGACAGUGAAAAGACCCAGGCCAGACCCUCAAGGGGCCUCCAGUCCCUAGAAGCGACAGCCAAGCAAACAGGAAGUUAAUUCUGCAGGACGCAAUUAGGUCUCCUCCCUUGGGAACGUUCGAAGACCUAAUGGUAAAGAGGAACCAGCAUUUUGGUUCCUGCUGGUUUGGGCUCCGGGCUGAAUAGACUAUCUAUUGUGAAAGUGUAUUGUGCACAAGGAGAAUGGGGCUUUUUAUGAAGGGAAAUCAAGAGGGUGCCCGGUGGUAGGGUGGUAA
Molecule: long non-coding RNA, 4005 nt
Organism: Neofelis nebulosa (Clouded leopard)
Lineage: Eukaryota; Metazoa; Chordata; Mammalia; Carnivora; Felidae
Exons: 3
Source: RefSeq, a predicted model, not a curated record